This is a microRNA precursor of Drosophila grimshawi, 73 nucleotides long. It matches the Rfam family "mir-2 microRNA precursor family". Rfam says of the family: The miRNAs are transcribed as ~70nt precursors (modelled here) and subsequently processed by the Dicer enzyme to give a ~22nt product. In this case the mature sequence comes from the 3' arm of the precursor. Lineage: Eukaryota; Metazoa; Arthropoda; Insecta; Diptera; Drosophilidae. The record is from Rfam.
UGGCGCGUCAAAUUGACUGUGAGCUAUGUUGUUGCAGUUGUAAUUCAUAUCACAGCCAUUUUGACGAGUUUGA